CUACACAGGCGUGAGACAAAGACAUCAGUCGUCAAACACUAAACUUAUUAAAAUAUUAGUUAUUCACGACGAACGAUCGAGUGCCUGCACGUGUAGGAAGGCAAAACAGCAAAUAUUUCAGGAUGGUAAUCGACCUAUUCACAAGCAAUGUGCACUGUGAAUCAACGUCACUCCAAAACCCGAUGGCACACUUCCCUUCGACAAGAUUUACGUUACGUUUGCUUUCGAGAAAGAGAGAAACAGUCACGCAUAUCAACGACGCCACGUUUUUCGCAUUAUUGUUAUUUCAUAAAAGAAACAAAAGAUGUUUUUCGUGUUUUCACUGGCUUAUGCAAACCUGGGAGACGUUUGUGAGAACUCUCGAGCAUGUGCAGCCCUCGACCGUCGGUCUCAGCGAUGAUCUUGUGAAAACCUCUCAAAUACGUCGUGUAAAAAUCUUCAAGGAGAUAUGCUAUAAGCCCUAUGGCCCUGGAUGUUUUCUAUUUAUAAUCGAUAUAUGAACAUCAUUUUUAGUGUUAUAAGUUGGUUUCAAACGGAGAAUUUCUUUAUGUUUGAAGUUUCAUUCAAAAAAUCUUUCUUGUUUAAUAUUGGUUUUUCUAAAUGUCCUCGGGAGAUAUUUGAACGCCGUCACAUAUAUAUAUAUGUGAAACAGUGAUUAAUAAAAUAUAUCAAUCUUG
This is a long non-coding RNA of Xenia sp. Carnegie-2017, 677 nucleotides long. RefSeq lists it as uncharacterized. The record is from RefSeq and is a predicted model, not a curated record. NCBI's taxonomy places the organism in Eukaryota, Metazoa, Cnidaria, Anthozoa, Malacalcyonacea, Xeniidae. The transcript is spliced from 2 exons.